GUCCACGGCCAUACCACCCUGAACGCGCCUGAUCUCAUCUGAUCUCGGAAGCUAAGCAGGGUCGGGCCUGGUUAGCACUUGGAUGGGAGACCGCCUGGGAAUACUGGGUGCUGUAGGCU
Molecule: ribosomal RNA, 119 nt
Organism: Cavia porcellus (domestic guinea pig)
Lineage: Eukaryota; Metazoa; Chordata; Mammalia; Rodentia; Caviidae
Source: Ensembl